UCCAAAGAUAGAGGGAUCUGUCAAGCCAAAGUGGUGACUGGUGAAGCAGAAGGGUGAAGAGGAGAUCAUGAAUAAAUAGGGGCAUCAUGUGAGUCAUGUGACCAGUAUCAUGUGACUCACCAGUGUUCAGUACUUUGGGGAGGAUGGAGAAAGGCAGAAAGCAGAGGAAUUCACUCCAGCACACACACAUGUGCCUGAGGAAUUUCAGAAGAAACAAUGAUGAAUCAAUAGGAUUGACAAAACUGUGUGUGUAGUAGACUAAGAUUAAGCUAAACCUUGUGAAAAUGAAUAAUUAACAUGGUAACACACACUGACAUGUUGACAAUCUUAACACAUAGCCGCACUAUUGUUUUAAAGAUACGGAUUUGAGUGCUUGACAAUAGCGAAAUUGCUGAGAUCUGGCUUCUGUUUGGUUAAGAUUUAGACUUAAAAAUAAAUAAAAGACAGAAAAUAUGUGAAUUUCCCUGGAGUGUGUGCCACCGUCCUGAUCAUAAAUAAAGCUUAAAGAUGCACACACAAUUCAUACUUUACGAGAUAUACAGUGCCUUGCGUAAGGAUUUAGAGCCCUUGCAUUUCUUCACAUUUUAUUGUGUUACAAAGUAGGAUUAAAAUUGAUUUAAUUUCAAUCUUAAUUAAAAUAGGCUUUCCACCUGGAAGCACUUAUUUCUGGACAUGAAGUACAAACAAGAACAAAUACAAAUCAAUGUUUUAACGUAAUGUUAUUUGCUUUGGUAGUUACAACAUUUUUGGGGGCUUAGCACAUUUCGUUUGGGUUAGCAAAAUCAAAGAAAGUCUAUUUAUUGUUAUCAUUACUAAUAAUCAAAGUCCAAAGAUAGAGGCCACUCAACUGUAUUAUCAUAAUUAGAGCUAGGGUCUGCUAAACUACUGUAUGACCCCAGUGACCCCAGACCGACAUAUCAUGGUGCAGUUGUUCCAGGACCUCAUCAGUUCUGCUGCGCUCAGCUCCUGCCAGCUGAUGAAGUUGUGAAAGGGAACUCCCCUUUUCAUGUGUGUGUGUGUGUGUGUGUGUGUGUGUGUGUGUGUGUGUGUGUG
Oncorhynchus mykiss (rainbow trout) is the source of this 1053-nucleotide non-coding RNA. The record is from RefSeq and is a predicted model, not a curated record. NCBI's taxonomy places the organism in Eukaryota, Metazoa, Chordata, Actinopteri, Salmoniformes, Salmonidae.